GCGGAGCUGCGGGGUGCGUCAGGAGACAUUAUCCCCGGGGCCUUAUCGAUCCUUCAGGGAGCUGUCCCUGGCCGGACCCGUGGGUCCGGACACACGGCGCCCACCUACUUUCGUAGGGAACCCGGGAUCGAGCGCUCCAACGGCCACUGUGGCUUCGCA
This 159-nucleotide non-coding RNA is filed under the name Afipia sp. P52-10. RNAcentral describes it as "6S / SsrS RNA". It matches the Rfam family "6S / SsrS RNA". From Rfam's summary of the family: E. coli 6S RNA was the first non coding RNA to be sequenced, but its function was unknown until recently. It consists of 184 nucleotides that fold into an extended hairpin structure with a large single-stranded internal bulge. The 6S RNA specifically associates with RNA polymerase holoenzyme containing the sigma70 specificity factor. Lineage: Bacteria; Pseudomonadati; Pseudomonadota; Alphaproteobacteria; Hyphomicrobiales; Nitrobacteraceae. The record is from Rfam by way of RNAcentral.